This 851-nucleotide long non-coding RNA is filed under the name Calidris pugnax (ruff). RNAcentral describes it as "lncRNA (ENSCPUG00000013739.1)". The record is from RNAcentral. Lineage: Eukaryota; Metazoa; Chordata; Aves; Charadriiformes; Scolopacidae.
AUUUUCUGACCCUAGUACUUACAAAACCUCAGCUUUCCUUCCCUGGAGUACUGUGUGCAGUUCUCCAUGUCUGCAUGGAACAAAUGCAGUCGAAGGCUUCUGAGGUCACCAGAGGAACAGAGGGCGUGAGACGUGGCUAGAAAAGCCUGUUUAGUCUAAACGUGUUGAAACUUGCCUGUAAAGACAAGCAGAAAUGGAGUAGUGGGAAAAAGAUGUUUAAGCUGAAUAUGAAUACUGGUGAGGACCCAUGAAUGCAUUUUCAUUAGGUUCCUUGUUCCCAGGCUGCCUCCUUGUCUCCUCCCUCCUGUCCCGCUGUUGUGCAGGUGGUGUGUACGUGGGUGUGUAGAGAACCACAUCAGGAAGCUCAUUUGAGCAGGCAAUCCUCUCCGUUUGCUCCUUCCAACCUGGAUCAGCAUCCUGAUUGAAUCUAUUGUGUUGGCACAGUGAGCAGUGAAAAAUCUAGCUGCUGAAAAUGUGGCUGGAUUAUCUCACAUGAGAAACAGCCCAGGUUCUUCCAGUCCUUGAGGCUCCAUCAGGACCGUGAUGUAUAGAUAUAUGGGAACUGUAGUGGAUGCAGUACAGGAAAAUUAACUGAAGGGAUCUCCUGCCAUUGUAAAGGCAGAUGGAGGUAAUAAAAGCCAUCCUUGGGAAAGGAAUGCCUGGAAAACAAUAUGGCAGGCUGGAUGGAUGAAGUAUCCACACAGAAAUUCUUGGAAGAAAAUCAGAGAGAAAUCACGGCAAUACUGGUUGUCAACCUGAUCAGAGUGACCUUCUGUCCAAGUCUCUUCGCUGUCAUACUGCCACUGACAAAAACUGUCUCAUCAAACAGGGUGGAAAAGGUCUCUUUAUGA